UAGGGAAUCUUCCACAAUGGACGAAAGUCUGAUGGAGCAACGCCGCGUGAGUGAAGAAGGUUUUCGGAUCGUAAAGCUCUGUUGUUGGUGAAGAAGGAUAGAGGCAGUAACUGGUCUUUAUUUGACGGUAAUCAACCAGAAAGUCACGGCUAACUACGUGCCUG
Molecule: ribosomal RNA, 164 nt
Filed under: uncultured bacterium
Lineage: Bacteria
Description: partial 16S rRNA
Rfam family: Bacterial small subunit ribosomal RNA
Source: RNAcentral